AUUGAACGCUGGCGGAAUGCUUUACACAUGCAAGUCGAACGGCAGCAUAGGUGCUUGCACCUGAUGGCGAGUGGCGAACGGGUGAGUAAUACAUCGGAACGUGCCCAGUCGUGGGGGAUAACGUAGCGAAAGUUACGCUAAUACCGCAUACGAUCUAAGGAUGAAAGCGGGGGACCGUAAGGCAUCGCGCGAUUGGAGCGGCCGAUGUCAGAUUAGGUAGUUGGUGAGGUAAAGACUCACCAAGCCGACGAUCUGUAGCUGGUCUGAGAGGACUACCAGCCACACUGGGACUGAGACACGGCCCAGACUCCUACGGGAGUCAGCAGUGGGGAAUUUUGGACAAUGGACGCAAGUCUGAUCCAGCCAUUCCGCGUGCAGGACGAAGGCCUUCGGGUUGUAAACUAUUUUAGUACGGAACGAAAAAGCUCUUACUAAUACUAGGAGUCCAUGACGGUACCGUAAGAAUAAGCACCGGCUAACUACGUGCCAGCAGCCGCCGUAA
Molecule: ribosomal RNA, 502 nt
Filed under: uncultured bacterium
Lineage: Bacteria
Description: partial 16S ribosomal RNA
Rfam family: Bacterial small subunit ribosomal RNA
Source: RNAcentral